AAAUUAAGUCUAAAAAUUCAUCUCCAAAAUAGAUUUUUAAGAGUGUCUCGGGGAUUGAACUUUUUCCCUCUAAAAAUAGCAUGUGCAUCUUGACUUACCCCUGGUCAACAUACCCAUGCAUAUUUAAAUAGCUAUUGACGUUCCCAUGCAUAUUGCCUAGGGCUAAGUCAAUAUGCACACGCUAGAAGGAAAACUUCAUUGCCCCCAGAACUUGAGCCGCCCACCAUCAUCAUGACUAGCCGAAAUCAGCCGAGCUAAGCCAAGUCCAGCCCGGCCGAGCCGAAAUCAGUGCCAAGCUGAGUCGAAAAAGCAUCUCGUUCUUUUUCCUUUCAUCUAAGUAGUUCUUUUUGUACUCUCUUUGGGAUUCUUGUUGGAUAUUCAGAAACAGAUGAAAACCCCAUCCUCUAUAAGGCGGAUGACAAGGGCUGCUUUGAAUGCCUCAUCUUCAUCAAAAACAGGGCAUGUAAUGCAUUUUGGGACCAUCAAUUUUCAAGAGCUGAAGAAAUGGGGAUAGCAGCUUUGAUUGGCAUAACAAAUGAUUCACCUAUUGUGGGUUUAGCACUUGGUUAAAGAAAAAACCAAGAAACCCCUGCUUCGAGUACAAAGAAACAUAACCCCCAAAAUAAAAAAUGAAGACCCCGGCUUCAGGAGAAGCCCUUAUUUGAUGCCAAGUGAGAUCCCUUUUGCUGAGGGUUGAAGAAGGCAGCCAGUUCAUCUGAGUUCAGAUAGUUUGCUCCCACUUGGCCUUCAAUCACUCUUUGUUUCUCCAUCUAGGCUAUUGGCACCAACUCCUGCGAGCAAUAUUCCUUUUUAUUGGAGUAUUGAGGUUAUGUAACUACUUAGGUUGUAUUUAUCUUUCUGUUAGCUGUUAACGGUUUGCAAGUCUGUUAUUCCCUUUUCUGAAUUUAACUGUGGAUCAUGUGCUUCAUUUCUGCCUUCCAGAGCUUGUCAUAUCAUAUUGAUUGUAUUUAAUUUCCAACAUUUGUUUCUUUUCUGAUAUUCAUUGUGAAGAAUCUUAUCUCAAUGUAACAGGGGAUUGCUGAA
Molecule: long non-coding RNA, 1044 nt
Organism: Amborella trichopoda
Lineage: Eukaryota; Viridiplantae; Streptophyta; Magnoliopsida; Amborellales; Amborellaceae
Source: RefSeq, a predicted model, not a curated record